UAGAUUAAGUUAUUAAGGGCGCACGGUGGAUGCCUUGGCACUAGAAGCCGAUGAAGGACGUUACUAACGACGAUAUGCUUUGGGGAGCUGUAAGUAAGCUUUGAUCCAGAGAUUUCCGAAUGGGGAAACCCAGCAUGAGUUAUGUCAUGUUAUCGAUAUGUGAAUACAUAGCAUAUCAGAAGGCACACCCGGAGAACUGAAACAUCUUAGUACCCGGAGGAAGAGAAAGAAAAUUCGAUUCCCUUAGUAGCGGCGAGCGAAACGGGAAGAGCCCAAACCAACAAGCUUGCUUGUUGGGGUUGUAGGACACUCUAUACGGAGUUACAAAGGACGACAUUAGACGAAUCAUCUGGAAAGAUGAAUCAAAGAAGGUAAUAAUCCUGUAGUCGAAAAUGUUGUCUCUCUUGAGUGGAUCCUGAGUACGACGGAGCACGUGAAAUUCCGUCGGAAUCUGGGAGGACCAUCUCCUAAGGCUAAAUACUCUCUAGUGACCGAUAGUGAACCAGUACCGUGAGGGAAAGGUGAAAAGCACCCCGGAAGGGGAGUGAAAUAGAACCUGAAACCGUGUGCUUACAAGUAGUCAGAGCCCGUUAAUGGGUGAUGGCGUGCCUUUUGUAGAAUGAACCGGCGAGUUACGAUUUGAUGCAAGGUUAAGCAGUAAAUGUGGAGCCGUAGCGAAAGCGAGUCUGAAUAGGGCGUUUAGUAUUUGGUCGUAGACCCGAAACCAGGUGAUCUACCCUUGGUCAGGUUGAAGUUCAGGUAACACUGAAUGGAGGACCGAACCGACUUACGUUGAAAAGUGAGCGGAUGAACUGAGGGUAGCGGAGAAAUUCCAAUCGAACCUGGAGAUAGCUGGUUCUCUCCGAAAUAGCUUUAGGGCUAGCCUCAAGUGAUGAUUAUUGGAGGUAGAGCACUGUUUGGACGAGGGGCCCCUCUCGGGUUACCGAAUUCAGACAAACUCCGAAUGCCAAUUAAUUUAACUUGGGAGUCAGAACAUGGGUGAUAAGGUCCGUGUUCGAAAGGGAAACAGCCCAGACCACCAGCUAAGGUCCCAAAAUAUAUGUUAAGUGGAAAAGGAUGUGGCGUUGCCCAGACAACUAGGAUGUUGGCUUAGAAGCAGCCAUCAUUUAAAGAGUGCGUAAUAGCUCACUAGUCGAGUGACACUGCGCCGAAAAUGUACCGGGGCUAAACAUAUUACCGAAGCUGUGGAUUGUCCUUUGGACAAUGGUAGGAGAGCGUUCUAAGGGCGUUGAAGCAUGAUCGUAAGGACAUGUGGAGCGCUUAGAAGUGAGAAUGUCGGUGUGAGUAGCGAAAGACGGGUGAGAAUCCCGUCCACCGAUUGACUAAGGUUUCCAGAGGAAGGCUCGUCCGCUCUGGGUUAGUCGGGUCCUAAGCUGAGGCCGACAGGCGUAGGCGAUGGAUAACAGGUUGAUAUUCCUGUACCACCUAUAAUCGUUUUAAUCGAUGGGGGACGCAGUAGGAUAGGCGAAGCGUGCGAUUGGAUUGCACGUCUAAGCAGUAAGGCUGAGUAUUAGGCAAAUCCGGUACUCGUUAAGGCUGAGCUGUGAUGGGGAGAAGACAUUGAGUCUUCGAGUCGUUGAUUUCACACUGCCGAGAAAAGCCUCUAGAUAGAAAAUAGGUGCCCGUACCGCAAACCGACACAGGUAGUCAAGAUGAGAAUUCUAAGGUGAGCGAGCGAACUCUCGUUAAGGAACUCGGCAAAAUGACCCCGUAACUUCGGGAGAAGGGGUGCUCUUUAGGGUUAACGCCCAGAAGAGCCGCAGUGAAUAGGCCCAAGCGACUGUUUAUCAAAAACACAGGUCUCUGCUAAACCGUAAGGUGAUGUAUAGGGGCUGACGCCUGCCCGGUGCUGGAAGGUUAAGAGGAGUGGUUAGCUUCUGCGAAGCUACGAAUCGAAGCCCCAGUAAACGGCGGCCGUAACUAUAACGGUCCUAAGGUAGCGAAAUUCCUUGUCGGGUAAGUUCCGACCCGCACGAAAGGCGUAACGAUUUGGGCACUGUCUCAACGAGAGACUCGGUGAAAUCAUAGUACCUGUGAAGAUGCAGGUUACCCGCGACAGGACGGAAAGACCCCGUGGAGCUUUACUGUAGCCUGAUAUUGAAAUUCGGCACAGCUUGUACAGGAUAGGUAGGAGCCUUUGAAACGUGAGCGCUAGCUUACGUGGAGGCGCUGGUGGGAUACUACCCUAGCUGUGUUGGCUUUCUAACCCGCACCACUUAUCGUGGUGGGAGACAGUGUCAGGCGGGCAGUUUGACUGGGGCGGUCGCCUCCUAAAAGGUAACGGAGGCGCUCAAAGGUUCCCUCAGAAUGGUUGGAAAUCAUUCAUAGAGUGUAAAGGCAUAAGGGAGCUUGACUGCGAGACCUACAAGUCGAGCAGGGUCGAAAGACGGACUUAGUGAUCCGGUGGUUCCGCAUGGAAGGGCCAUCGCUCAACGGAUAAAAGCUACCCCGGGGAUAACAGGCUUAUCUCCCCCAAGAGUUCACAUCGACGGGGAGGUUUGGCACCUCGAUGUCGGCUCAUCGCAUCCUGGGGCUGUAGUCGGUCCCAAGGGUUGGGCUGUUCGCCCAUUAAAGCGGUACGCGAGCUGGGUUCAGAACGUCGUGAGACAGUUCGGUCCCUAUCCGUCGUGGGCGUAGGAAAUUUGAGAGGAGCUGUCCUUAGUACGAGAGGACCGGGAUGGACAUACCUCUGGUGUACCAGUUGUCGUGCCAACGGCAUAGCUGGGUAGCUAUGUGUGGACGGGAUAAGUGCUGAAAGCAUCUAAGCAUGAAGCCCCCCUCAAGAUGAGAUUUCCCAACUUCGGUUAUAAGAUCCCUCAAAGAUGAUGAGGUUAAUAGGUUCGAGGUGGAAGCAUGGUGACAUGUGGAGCUGACGAAUACUAAUCGAUCGAAGACUUAAUCAA
RNAcentral lists this ribosomal RNA (2924 nucleotides) under Staphylococcus aureus. RNAcentral describes it as "23S ribosomal RNA". It matches the Rfam family "Bacterial large subunit ribosomal RNA". The record is from RNAcentral. Lineage: Bacteria; Bacillati; Bacillota; Bacilli; Caryophanales; Staphylococcaceae.